RNAcentral lists this long non-coding RNA (409 nucleotides) under Equus asinus (donkey). RNAcentral describes it as "lncRNA (ENSEASG00005036030.1)". Lineage: Eukaryota; Metazoa; Chordata; Mammalia; Perissodactyla; Equidae. The record is from RNAcentral.
GAAUCCCUAGAGUGGGCCUAAAUGCUGUAGAAUAUGCAUCUCCUGCGUAAGAAGACCCCAGACCCUUCAUGAGACAGAACACACAUCUCGGAAACGAGCUGGCCGCAUUUUGCCUUCUGUAACUGAGACAUAAGCAGCGGUCCCAGCAUCUUCACAGCAAAAGCCUCUCUCCAAGAAACUCCCCAGAAAUAAGGAUGGCUCAGAUGAUUCUGCUGCUAGUGAUUUGUGGUCUCAUAUUGUGUGGACUUCAUCAUUUUGUCUUCCGUAGGCCUGACAUGGACAAACGACCCAAUCCUGGUAUGUAUCCAUAUGCUUGGGGCCAAUGGCUAUGCCACAGUCAGCCCUUUGAUGCUAAUCAGGGCUGAGAAACAAAUAAUAAAAACUAUGCAAACCAUACGGAAGAGGAAAG